UAAACGAUGUCAAUUAGUUGUUGGUUCUUUAUUGAAUCAGUAACGUAGCUAACGCGUGAAAUUGACCGCCUGGGGAGUACGGUCGCAAGAUCAAAACUCAAAGGAAUUGACGGGGACCCGCACAAGCGGUGGAUGAUGUGGAUUAAUUCGAUGCAACGCGAAAAACCUUACCUACCCUUGACAUGUUCGGAAUUCUGCAGAGAUGCGGAAGUGCUCGAAAGAGAACCGGAACACAGGUGCUGCAUAGCUGUCGUCAGCUCGUGUCGUGAGAUGUUGGGUUAAGUCCCGCAACGAGCGCAACCCUUAUCAUUAGUUGCUACGCAAGGGCACUCUAAUGAGACUGCCGGUGACAAACCGGAGGAAGGUGGGGAUGACGUCAAGUCCUCAUGGCCCUUAUGGGUAGGGCUUCACACGUCAUACAAUGGUCGGUACAGAGGGCUGCCAACCCGCAAGGGGGAGCCAAUCCUUUAAAACCGAUCGUAGUCCGGAUUGAGGUCUGCAACUCGACCUCAUGAAGUCGGAAUCGCUAGUAAUCGCGGAUCAGCUUGUCGCGGUGAAUACGUUCCCGGGUCUUGUACACACCGCCCGUCACACCAUGGGAGCGGGUUUUACCAGAAGUAGCUAGCCUAACCGC
RNAcentral lists this ribosomal RNA (634 nucleotides) under uncultured bacterium. RNAcentral's name for it is "bacterial SSU rRNA". It matches the Rfam family "Bacterial small subunit ribosomal RNA", at positions 803 to 1442 of the family's 1533-position model. The record is from RNAcentral.